Molecule: long non-coding RNA, 3583 nt
Organism: Carlito syrichta (Philippine tarsier)
Lineage: Eukaryota; Metazoa; Chordata; Mammalia; Primates; Tarsiidae
Exons: 3
Source: RefSeq, a predicted model, not a curated record
CUUCACUCUCCACUCAGAGGCUCAGGGAGCAAGUGCCUGGCGUGGGGGGGAAAAGUUGCCUUUUUUUCUCUCUCUCUCUCUCUCUCCUUGGUCUUUUGCACCCUUCUCUCUCCCCGGAAGGGAAGACCCGUUUAAACUAUUUUAGACGCAAUCAAGCAAGAAUCACCAUGUGGAACUGAGCGCCAGUUUUAAACGUGCUAAAAAGAGGAAUGUUCUGAAAUUUUUUUUUUUUUUUUUUUUUUUUUUUUUUUUUGAGAGACGCCGAAAGGAGCCUGUGUGUGUGCUGCGGCCGCGCGGUGGUGACUCUGGAUCUUGUCUUCUGGCCGGCGCCUCGGUUCCUGCCCAGCUGGAUUUGGGGGGCGACACUGCCUGGCGCGGGAGACCAAAUGAGACCGCAAAGAAACAUAAAUGAAUAGACAAUUCAGCCAACCAAAGACCGGGGGCAGCAGCAGGCCAGCAAGACGGCAUCUUCUCCUCCCCAGCCUAGAAGCCCUGUGAAAUCGAGGAUCUUCCCCCUAAAACACACACACACAAGACAUGUGCAAUCAAGCUGCCACCGCUUGGUAAAAAGCUUAUGGUGCCUAACCCAAAAGGAUCAGGAGCAGAUCCUUGAAUCAGCUGUCACUUCUAUAGAAUGGGAUUUUUUUUUCUUCCUCCUUAACCUGCACUGGAAAUUGCCGCUGGCUUUAUACAUCUCUAUAGAGGGAGGCUAAGGAGUCUUGCGUGAGAAUGAAGCAAUUUACAAUGCAAAUAGAGGCCUGUGAAGGGACGGAUGCUGCUGCACACUCCUAACAGCUUGCUGCACCUUAAUAGCUGGUUUUAUUUUCUGAUAUUAAUAGAUGAAUUGUUGGUUAACGCUGCCGGAGAUUACUUGCUGCAAGGAAAAAAAAAAGUUGGGAAUAAACUCUGAAGCCAAAAGAUCUCGUUUGGAUGUUUUAGCUGCACACACACAGACAGAAACCAGGUCAUAUUUACAUAAAAGGAGGAAUCUUCUGCGCGGCAAGAGUCCUGGACGACCACUCUUCGGUGCUGUCAGGAAGGGUCCAGGAACCUGAAGUCUGCAAGAGGAAGACAGAGGCGUGUGGGAAGCGAGUUGUUAUCUUUGGUUAUCUAGCUGUAUGAGUGUAUUGGUCUUCAUAAAGCUAGAUAACCGAAAGUAAAAACUCCUUCAAGAUCGCCGGGGAGCAUGUGAGAAUGAAAGACUACAGCCAAGAGACAGUAAAAACCAGAAAGGUCAGGAAUACUUAUUGAAUCUAACUUUGUUUUUGUUGUGUGUUUUUUUUGCCUUGUGAUUAAAGGUGGGAUGAGAGGAAAUUGAGUGACAUACGUAUGCUAAUGUAGAAAGGUAGACAGAUAUCUGGAGGGGGGCUGUCACAGUUGCACAGGCGAAUUGUAUAGUGCCCGUGAGUAAAGAUGCAUGUGCAACUUGCUCUGCUUUAAGGCAAAAGUUUAUAUAUGAGGGGCCUUUAUUUUUCUUGGAACGCUGUUGUAGAGAUGUCUGGUACCUAGUUCAAAAAUGAUUCCAUAAUAUGUAGACUUGGGCAGUUCCCUCCAGAGGUCUUCCCCCACCCUCUAGCAUUUGCAGAGUGUGCUUGGAAACAACUUUACAUGUAUUUUGGCUGUAUAUCAAAUGAUAUGAAAUUAGACUUUCAGAAAAGUUUAUACUGGAAGGUUAAUAAUUUAUACCUACCAAGGACUUAGAGCUAGCAGGGAAAAUGAGAAAGGAAAAAAAGGAAAAAAAAAAAAAAAAAAAGCAAAGGCUGAUUUUUAUUCUUCUAUUCAAAAUACAAGGACAGAUGCUUCUCUGUUCCAAGAGGGUUUCCUUGAGGAAGCUACUGAAGCAGAAAGACAUGAUGGAGACGAGAUCGCCUCCCCUCUUGUCAAAGUGUUGAAAAAAUGUUCUGUCUUAUUCUGCGCCUAGCAUUGGAAAUGAAAGUGACAUUUACGCCACAACCCACGUGUGCGCCUCCUCUCUUUUUGUUUAAGGAUGAUCAGGUCUAUCCGGGAAACAGCUCUGGCAUCCCAAACUGAAAUAAUUAGGACGUAUAUAGACCUGACAAAAAUGGAAAGGGGGUGGGGAAUCUGAGGGUCUGUCUUGCCUAAUUGAUUCCGCUAAACGGAAUGCAGGAGAUGUGAACGGCAGGACGCUCUGAUUCCCACGCUCGGGGGCAAGUGGUAAAGCGGGGCCGGCAGCCUAUGACAGACAGCCCUGUUGGGGGGUGGGGGUAUGAAAAAAACAUCAAGUGCACACACCAUACUCAUCUCCAUCGCUUAAGAAAGUAAAGGCAUUUCCCACCCACAGCCAUCUGCAGCUUCCCAAAUGGCAACACCAACUGGUCUGGAGCGGCUGCAUACUGUCUGCUUCUGUUAAUUUUUUAACCACUGUUUAAUCUGACCAUAAUUAAGUGUGGCUUUCUUCUUUGCUUGAGGUUGUCGAUAUUCAAGGAAAGCUAGUAGAAAGCGAUUCCAAGAAAAGUCCCAUGACCGCCUGCCCCUCGUGUCAGACUUUUAGUCCGUGCCUGUGGCCUUGUGACCACCUUUAGACUUUGUUUUGGGUGGGUUAUAUUUUAAAAUACAUCUCUCUCUCAAUGCAACAGUCUUUAUGAUUUCAUGAGGCUGUUUGCCUCUUAACGUGAUCCAUCUAUGAACUUGGCCUAACUAUGCUAGUAAACACACAUACUAAAAGUAAAAUGAGGAAGUCACUAACCUGUAGAAAGUUGGUUACAAUAACAAUAUGAUAAAAGGUUAUUUUCGAAUAACAGCCAUUUAUAUUCAAUCUAAAAAUAACCAUGCCUAGCAGAAACUUUGGCACUUUGGAGGGAUCCCCACUGUAAUCUUUUCGUAAAAGUCCUUAGGUUUUUUCACGUGUCACCAAGCAAACAUUUGUACAGACAUGUCCCCAUAAACACACCCAUUGCAAUAGGAAAAUGUCCAAAAUGGCCUGUGGUCUUCCACAUGGCCUAGAUUCUGACAGUCCAAAAUACACAGUUUUUCUUUAAAAGUAGUUAAUGUGCCUGUGUGUCUUCAACUCCUUACUAGACUUUGGACUGGAGAAGCCUGUAAAACCACUGUUAGCUUUAGUUGGAAACUCCGAGACUUUUAUUAACGUAAAUUCUCAAUUUGGCUGUUGAACACGUGCCAAAGUUUUACUACUGUAGUGACCGUUGAGAAGACCCUUGUUUAUUUACAUGUGAAGCACUGUUUGUGCAAACAAGCUUUCAUUGUUAAGUGCCUGUAUUCCUUUCAGUUACUUCCUGUCCAGGGGUGCUAUUUACCUAGAACCAUUGUCUACUACAAUUAACAUUUACAUUACAAAGUGUGUGGUUUUCUUUCUCGAGGAGGUUCAAUUAAGGCAAUAAGAUGUUUGCUGGGGAAACCUAUUGUUUACUGAAAGCACUCAAUGGAGUCAAAUUACUGAAGCUUUUGCCUACAUCUUGGUCUUUUAUGUAAAUAUGUUAAAUAUAACAUCUAAGGAAAAUAAACAAUAUUACAAUUAUGUGUUUGCCAUUGUCAUAUCAAACUUGCUUUGUAUCAUACUAAUGUUGCAUAACUUAUCAAUCAAUAAAAAUACAUUUCAAUGUUA